RNAcentral lists this ribosomal RNA (332 nucleotides) under uncultured bacterium. RNAcentral describes it as "bacterial SSU rRNA". It matches the Rfam family "Bacterial small subunit ribosomal RNA", at positions 568 to 898 of the family's 1533-position model. The record is from RNAcentral.
CGCGUAGGCGGUUUUUUAAGUCAGACGUGUAAUCCCCGAGCUUAACUUGGGAACUGCAUCUGAGACUGGAAGGCUAGAGUACUGGAGAGGGUGGUGGAAUUCCUCGUGUAGCGGUGAAAUGCGUAGAGAUGAGGAGGAACACCAGUGGCGAAGGCGGCCACCUGGACAGUAACUGACGCUGAGGCGCGAAAGUGUGGGUAGCAAACAGGAUUAGAUACCCUGGUAGUCCACGCUGUAAACGAUGAACACUUGGUGUGGAGGGAGUUGACCCCUUCCGUGCCGGAGCUAACGCGUUAAGUGUUCCGCCUGGGGAGUACGGUCGCAAGGCUGAA